Molecule: ribosomal RNA, 1404 nt
Filed under: metagenome
Description: bacterial LSU rRNA
Rfam family: Bacterial large subunit ribosomal RNA
Source: RNAcentral
UGUGAGGCUGAUGUGUAGGCAAAUCCGCACAUCGUUAAGGCUGGGCUGUGAUGGGGAGCGAAAAUUGCAGUAGCGAAGGUCAUGAGUUCAGGCUGCCAAGAAAAGCCUCUAGCCAGGUGAAGGUGCCCGUACCGCAAACCGACACAGGUAGGCGAGCAGAGUAUGCUAAGGCGCUCGGAAGAACUCUCGUUAAGGAACUCGGCAAAAUGACCCCGUAACUUCGGGAGAAGGGGUGCCUCGGUAGGGUGAAUAGCCCGAGGGGGCCGCAGUGAAAAGGCCCAAGCGACUGUUUAGCAAAAACACAGGUCUGUGCGAAGCCGUAAGGCGAAGUAUACGGGCUGACGCCUGCCCGGUGCUGGAAGGUUAAGGGGAGUGGUUAGCCGCAAGGCGAAGCUAUGAACCGAAGCCCCAGUAAACGGCGGCCGUAACGAUAACGGUCCUAAGGUAGCGAAAUUCCUUGUCAGGUAAAUUCUGACCCGCACGAAUGGCGUAACGACUUGGGCGCUGUCUCAACGAGAGAUCCGGUGAAAUUUUAAUACCUGUGAAGGUGCAGGUUACCCGCGACAAGACGGAAAGACCCCAUGGAGCUUUACUGCAGCUUGAUAUUGGACUUUGGUACGAUCUGUACAGGAUAGGUGGGAGCCUUGGAAACCGGAGCGCCAGCUUCGGCGGAGGCAUCGUUGGGAUACCACCCUGAUCGUAUCGGAGUUCUAACCUGGUACCGUGAUCCGGUACAGGGACCGUGUCAGGUGGGCAGUUUGACUGGGGCGGUCGCCUCCUAAAAUGUAACGGAGGCGCCCAAAGGUUCCCUCAGAAUGGUUGGAAAUCAUUCGUAGCGUGCAAAGGCAUAAGGGAGCUUGACUGCGAGACCUACAAGUCGAGCAGGGACGAAAGUCGGGCUUAGUGAUCCGGUGGUACCGCAUGGAAGGGCCAUCGCUCAACGGAUAAAAGCUACCCUGGGGAUAACAGGCUUAUCUCCCCCAAGAGUCCACAUCGACGGGGAGGUUUGGCACCUCGAUGUCGGCUCAUCGCAUCCUGGGGCUGAAGUAGGUCCCAAGGGUUGGGCUGUUCGCCCAUUAAAGCGGUACGCGAGCUGGGUUCAGAACGUCGUGAGACAGUUCGGUCCCUAUCUGUCGUGGGCGUAGGAAAUUUGAGAGGAGCUGUCCUUAGUACGAGAGGACCGGGAUGGACGCACCGCUGGUGUACCAGUUGUUCCGCCAGGAGCAUAGCUGGGUAGCUACGUGCGGACGGGAUAAGCGCUGAAAGCAUCUAAGCGUGAAGCCCCCCUCAAGAUGAGAUUUCCCAGUAUGUAAGACCCCUGGAAGACGACCAGGUUGAUAGGUUCGAGGUGGAAGCGCAGCAAUGCGUGGAGCUGACGAAUACUAAUCGGUCGAGGGCUUAUCC